GGCCUCCUGCGCGAAGCGCGCCAGCGCGCGGGCCGCCGCCUCGGCCUCCUCUCGCUGCCGGGCCUCGUCGUCUAGGCGCUGGCGCACGUGCGCGAUGUCCUCGAGCAGGUGCUCCUGCUCCAGGCGUAGCUGACCGCGCGCCGCGCCCAGGCGCAGCACCGCGCCGCGCAUCUCGCGGACCUCGCGCUCGUACAGCUCGCCCAUAGCGGAGCGGCCCGCCUGCUGCUGCCGCAGCGCCGCAGCCUCGCCCUCCAGGCUGCGGUUGUGCGCCUCCAGCUGCCGCACCUUGUCGAUGUACCCGGCGAAGCGGUCGUUCAGCGCCUGCAGCUGCUCCUUCUCACUGCGUGAGGUGGCCACCGCCACCAUGCAGCCCUCCGGCCCGUUGCUCAGCGUGUCCAGCGAGUCGGUGCUUGAGGCGGCGCCUGCGCCACGGAAGCGGCUGGGCGAGGCGGACACGGAGCUCACGGACGUCCGUGUCCACGAGUGGAAGCCGCUGGAGGAGCCAGCGGCGGAGCGCGUCCCGCCUGCGCCACCCUUUCGGGCUAGCGCGUAGUGGAGGCUGCCGCCGCCAUGCAGCGGCGCGAACGGGGCGCCCAGCAGCGCGUCCGCGCCGCCGAAGCUCAUCAUGGCCUGAGCAGUAGAGAUGGGGUUUCACCGUGUUAACCAGGAAUGUCUCGAUCUCCUGACCUCGUGAUCCACCCGCCUCAGCCUCCCAAAGUGUUGGGAUUACAGGCGUGAGCUACCACGCCCGGCCCUAGGCUCCACAACUCUAAGAAGCUUUGCCUCACAACAUUGUCAUCAAACCCACUUUCGGCGGUGCAGUGGCUCACACCUCUAAUCCCAGCACUUUGGGCGGCCAAGCGAGAGGAUCGCUUGAGCCCAAGAGCUCGAGACCAGCCCAGGCAACACAGAAAAACCUCAUUUCUACAAAAAAUAAAAUAAAAUAAAAAUAGCUGGGUGUGGUGGCGCGCCUGUGGUCCCAGCUCCUCGGGAGGCUGAGGUGGGAGGAUCGCUUAAACCUGGAGAGGCGGAGGUUGCAGUGAGCCGAGAUCACGCCACGGCACUCCAGCCUCGGCAACAGAGCGAGACCCUGUCACAAACGAACACUCUCCAGAGGGGGAAACCGAGGCCCUGGGACUGCAGAACCGGUUUCUCUGCCUCGGCAUACUGCCUCGGCUGGCUCUGCGCUUGAUAGAAUCGCGCCAGCAACAGCGCCCCCUGCAGGCGACGGCGGGCACGCCUGCGUCACAGCCAUCCCCGCCCUUCCGCAGUGGGAACGCCCGAAUGCUUCAUCCGGCCUCGGAAGAUUGAAGAGCGCUCCUCCAAACUGGCUCAGGGAAGCCGGGCGCGCCGCCUUCAGCCCCGCCUUGGCCGCCGCGGCGUCGCAUCAGUGGCAUCCCCAGGGGCUGCAGGAAGGUAGCCGUAGCCUUGGCUGUCGUGGCUUCCCUCAUCGUAACGGCCUGGGGGCAGCGGUGCUCAAAGAACUCAGGGGGUGGGGCUCAGGUAGGGGCAUGGCCGGUGCUCUUCCUAGGGGCGGGAUCCUGGGAAAGGGGAUCGUCCCAGAAGGACCCAGCCACAAGCGAGGACACCGGUGCAUCAAGCCCUGGCGCCUGUGUUUCCGUGAACAGCGCCCUUCUCCUCCUCCCCAGACAUUGGUCCUGGCACCUGUGUGUCCGUGGGCAGCAGCCUCUUCCUCCUCCCCAGACCUCAGUUUCUGCACGUGUGAAAAGGGGGCUCUUCCAAGACUCUUACAUGAAUGCAAAAAUCGGGAUUUCGUCCAGCAUGCUCAGAAUUGUCGACCCUACACAGGCACCUGAGAAAUCAGAGCUGAGUCAGGAGAGCCGGUGUGGAUGUACUGGGAGCUCCUUCCCUUGCUGCGUCAGCACUCUUGAGACUGGAGAGCCCUGGAGGUUGGGGACCGGCCACUUGCUGGUGGACCAGACUCCCUGCAGUCUGGGAUGGUGACAGACAUGAGACAUGGCUGUGGAAGUAAUUGGUAACAGUAGUAGCCCGCAUUUAUUGAGCACUGACUAUGUGCUUGGCUUUGUGUGAAGGCCAGUCACAUGCAUUAUUUCCCCCUCCCACAGCCUUGUCUGGUGGGUACUGCUAUUCUGUCCCCAGUUUACUGAUGAGACAUUUGAGGCCCAGAGUUGCUGGGUAGUAACCAGUCCAAAGUCACCCUGCUGACAAGUAGCUGAAGCAGUAGUCCCCAGUCUUACCUACUAUACUGUACUGAGAAAGGUUUGACCUGGAAGGCAGAAUGGCAGAGGGGGAAAUGACAAGGUUCUAGCAGUAUUAAUAAUAGAUACCAUGCAUUGAGCACCCACUAAGUGCUGGGUGCUGGCCCAAGGGCAUUUCAUGAAUCAUUUAUCCUCCUGACAGUGAACCCUAUACUGUAAAUUUUAUUUCCAUUUCAAAGGUGAAGCUCGGAGAAGUCACUUUAUAUGCCUUAGGGCACAUAUAGUAAAAAACUAACUUUUCGAUUCAUUGAUGGUGCAUUCUGCCUGCCUGCAUGUCACUCUUAGGCAUAUUCCACUCUUCUCUGAGUCAAGCUUUCUCCUACUGUGAAAUGAGAGGCUUGGACUGGGAGACUUUGAAUGUUCUUUCCCCAGCCGAUGUUGUUUGAUUUUAGGGAGUUUUGACAUGAAUGUUGGAGAUCUGGAUUUGAGGAUUACAUUUGUUCCUAAUUAACUGUAAUUUAGGCACAUCUCUGCAUCUCUGGGCUUCAGUUUCCGCAUUAGUAAAAGGUAAGACUAGACCAGGCAUGUUGGCUCAUGUCUGUAAUCCCAGAACUUUGGGAGGCUGAGGAGGAAGGAGGAUUGCUUGAAGCCAGGAGUUUGAGUCCAGCCUGGGCAACAAAACAAGACCCUGUCUCUACAAUAAAAAAAAAUUAAAAAGUUCAAAUUAGCCAGGUGCAGUGGCUCAUGCUUGAAGUCCCAGCUACUUGGAGAGCUGAGGUGGGAUACUCACUUGAGCCCAGGAGUUUGAGGCUGCAGUGAGCUAUAAUCAUGCCACUGCGCUCUAUCCUGGGCAACAGAGCGAGGCCCCGUCUCUAAAAAGAAAAUGGGCUGGGCACGGUGACUCACACCUGUAAUCCUAACACUUUGGGUGGCUGAGGUGGGAGGAUCACUUGAUCCCAGGAGUUUGAGACCAGCCUGGGCAACAUGGCAAAACCCUGUCUCUACGAAAAAUACAAAAAACUGGCUAGGCAUGGUGACAUGUACCUGUGGUUCCAGCUAUCUAGCUAUCCGGGAGGUGGAGGCAGAAGGAUCACCUGAGCCCAGGAGGUUGAGACUGCAGUGAUCCAUGAUCACGCCACAGCCUUGGCAACAGAGUGAGACCCUGUCUCAAAAAAAAAGAAAAAAAAAUUACAGAGAUUAGCAUUUCCAAUCACCAGAGUGCCUUCUGGCUUGAAUAUUUUAUGACUGCAGAUGAAGAGACAACCUGAGGUUCAGCAAACUGCAUCCUCUGAGAAAGUCUAAUGAACGUAAAUCUGCUACCUUACUCAGAAUGUCCCUGGCACAAGUUUCCAAGGAUAGACCCUCUGUGUGAAGGGGAGCAGCUGCCUUUGAGCAAUCAGCAGUAACUGCUUGGGGAGGCUUAGUCCCCUAAUAGUUCAGAAGUCACCUCCAAGGUCAGACGGACCCACAGCUGAACGCCAACACUUCCACUUCUCGGAAAGCCCAACGUGUAAACUGAUGACAGACUAUCCUGGAGGAAGAGGUGGGGCAGCCUGGAGUUUUCCUCUGGACAUCCUGAGAGGGAUACUGAAGCACUCAGGAGGGGUCUUAGACCUGCCCAAGCUCACUCACACAGUUUGAGAAGAGCUGCGCUUAGACCACAGGCCUCUUGGCUCCUGGGAAGCUGAGAGCAUCGGCGUGGGAGUUCGUCAGACAGGGGCAAGUUCCAACCGCAGCUCAGUGACCUCAGACAAGCCCCCUCACCUCGCAGAACCAGGUUCUUCUUCAGAGUUGUAGGAAGGAGUGGAGGAGGGUCUCCGCAUGUCAGAUGUCCACACAGUGCCUGGGAGCUGAGGUUGUCAUGGUUACCAAGAGGCCAGUCUCAGGGCUGCUGUGAUGACCUGGGCUGCUCUCCCAUUCCCAAGAAGGGGAGAACUCCUCAGAUUCCCUACUCUGCUCUUCUUGCUCCCUCCCAAGCAAUACAUGAGCAGGAAUUUGUCCUCUGCAGGAAUGUGCAGCGAGAAAGUCUCCUUUUUUGAUGAGACAGCGAUGAGGUGAUGUCUGGUUUUUUAUAUCCUCACUUGCUGAACUGGUGCCAGAUGUAAGAGUCCAGGCUGGAUUCCAUUAGCCAUAUUUGUCCUCUGGGCUCCCAGCCCUGCAGGACCUUCUGGGGGCCCACCUUGAGACCCUCCAGUUGGUAAGAAGUUGGCUGGGGCAAAUGAUGCAGCCCUAAGACGAACCAUUUCCACUGGGGACUCAGGCAGGGUCCCUGAGAGCCUGACUUACUCGAGUCUUUUCUUUAAAAAUUAAAAAAACAAGGCUGGGCGCGGUGGCUCACGCCUGUAAUCCCAGCACUUUGGGAGGCCGAGGCGAGUGGAUCACGAGGUCAGGAGAUUGAGCCCAUCCUGGCUAACAUGGUGAAACCCCUUCUCUACUAAAAAUACAAAAAAUUAGUCGGGCAUGGUGGUGGGCACCUGUAGUCCCAGCUACUCAGGAGGCUGAGGCAGGAGAAUGGCGUGAACCCGGGAGGUGGAGGUUGCAGUGAGCCGAGAUCGCACCACUGCACUCCAGCCUGGGCAACACCGUGAGACGCCAUCUCAAAAAAAAAAAAAAAUUAACAAAACACAUUGAUCUUUUUUUUUUAUUUUUACCGAAGUAAGAAACCCUUUGAAGUUUAGGAGCUGCAACUAAUCCACGUUGAAGGCUAAUCGGAGGCCUAGAUAGGUUAAUACCUUUCCCAGAGGAACCCAGUGGUAAAUGUAAAUGUCAGAUUGAUCAAUUGUAGAUUGAACUUCAGAAGCUGGAGUCCUCAUUACUAUUCUGGGGUGAUGGUCGACUCUAUUUGCUCAACAGAAGGAUCAGUGGCCUGGAGAAUUUGAGAUAGUUGGUGAUAACAUUAUAGGAUUCUAUUUUAAAUGGGAAAGAAAUUCCUAAAAGUUAAACGCAUGUUAAAAAAAACUAUAUUAAGGCCGGGUACAGUGGCUCUUGCCUGUAAUCCCAGCACUCUGGGAAGCCGAGGUGGGAGGAUCGCUUGAGCCUAGGAGUUCCAGAUUAGCCUGGGCAACACAGUGAGACCCCAUCUCUAAAAAAAAGAACAAAAUUAGCUGGCAUGUCAUUGUGCACUUGUAGUCUCAGCUCCUUGGGAGGCUGAGGUGGGAGGAUUGCUUGAGCACAGAAGGGUGAGGCUGCAGUGAACUGUGAUCACACCACUGUGCUCCAGCCUGGGUGACAGAACAAUACCUUGUCUCAAAAAUAAAAAAAUUCAUAUACAAAAAUGCCUGAGGUAUACAAUGAAAGCUCUUGAAAGCCACUGUCUACAGAUAAGCAUUAGAGCCACUUACACAGAUUUUUUCAGAUUUUUCUAUGCAUUUAUAUGUUAAAAUUUAUAUUUUUAAAAGAUUAACACUAUACAUUCUGUUUUGCAGUUUGCUUUUGCAAAUAGCAGUAGCUCCUGAAAUGUGGAAAUUCUUUACCUGGCUGAUUCAUGACAAACUUGGUGGGAGAAGUAGCUGGUAAAGUUUUAUGCAAAAUUGUGUGUUGUGUGUAUGUGAGCAUUCUUUAGAAAUAGUGACUAUGAUUCUCAUCAGAAUCUUAGGAAAGAUUCAGACCCAAGACCCUUGAUUUCAGAUGGGGAAGGGACUCAGUCCUCGGGCUGGCCUUGAAGGAUGAGGACAAGAAUGCUGCAGUCGCCUGGCCCUGGGCAUCCUGCCCUGGCCUUGGAGAGGAGCUGCAUUCUGCAGAGCCAGAAGGAGGACAAGAGAGGCAGCCUGCCCAAGCACCAGGCUGAGCCUCUGCAGUCCCUGCCAGGAGAAGACUUACAGCCGCCGGGAGCUUGGGAAGGUUACAGAGAAAAAGCCUCUCGCAGCACUUGGGAGGACACUGCCUGCAGCACCGCGCCUGCUGUGGGCCUGCUCCAGGGUCAGGGAAGCCUCUGAGGGACAGGCUUGGGGCACAAGGGUGGGUGAGGGGCAGGGGAGAGAGUGUACUCUCUGGGCCAGGACCCCGGCACACCUAGCACACAGACCAUGGGGAGGGUGCCAAACACAGGACUUGGCUACAUUUUGUUACUGUCACUUUGAGUAUUACCUGUGCAAUCGAGCAGGCUUUAUGGAUCUCAGACUGCCCAGGACUUUUCUGGCUGCUAUGGGAGGAUGUAAGAUUUACCAAGAACACCAGCCACCACCCAGAAAGCAGGUUUCUCAUGUGAGCCCUGCGCCAAGCACUGUAUGUGCACAUGCCAGAUUUUAAUUUGCUGUGGGGAGGUGCUUUUAUACUCGCCACUUGACAGUGGCCCCCAAAAAGCCAAGAAACCUGUCCAAGGCCCAUGGGAUCAGCAGGUGUUGAUUUAAUACUGGUACCCCCAGUUGCAGAGUCCCCAGCCUCAACCAUAGGCACUCUCCUCUGCCCCCCGGGGAGGGACUGCCACCCUGACUCAGGGAUGACCUCUGCGAGAUGAGAGCAGAGGGGUUUUGUUCUGUUUCAACCUUUUUUGUUGUUUGUUUUUGAGACGGAGUUUUUGCUGUGUUGCCCAGGCUGGAGUGCAGUGGUGCAAUCUCAGCUCACUGCAGCCUCCACCUCCUGGGUUUAAGCAAUUCUCCUGCCUCAGCCUCCUGAGUAGCUGGGAUUACAGAUGCAUCUCACCAUACCCAGCUAAUUUUUUGUGUUUUUAGUAGAGAUGGGGUUUCACCAUGUUGGCCAGGCUGGUCUCAAACUCCUGACCUCAGGUGAUCCACCCACCUCGACCUCCCAAAGUGCUAGGAUUACAAGUGUGAGCCACUGAGCCCGGCCUCAACCUUUUUUUAUUAUUAUUUUUUGAGAUGGAGUCUCACUCCAUCGCUAGGCUGGAGUGCAGUGGCACAAUCUCGGCUCACUGCAACCUCCACCUCCUGGGUUCAAGUGAUUCUCCUGCCUCAGCCUCCUGAGUAGCUGGGACUACAGGCGCCCGCCACUACACCCGGCUAAUUUUUUGUACUUUUAGUAGAGAUGGGGUUUCACCAUGUUGGCCAGGAUGGUCUCAAUCUCCUGACCUCGUGAUCCACUCACCUCAGCCUCCCAAAGUGCUGGUAUUACAGGUGUGAGCCAUCGCGCUUGGCUUUUUUUUUUUUUUUUUUUUAAACCACAAGCAUGUGUCACUUUUAUAGUUAAGAGGAAAAACAAACUUUUUCUAAAAAUCUGUAUUUCUGAAAUGGUUAGCAGGAGCCCAGCUGAGUCUGGGGUGCUGCAGGCCUCCUGCCUGUGGGGACCUCUCCUAGGCACCUCCUUUCUUAGACCCAUCCUUAGGGCUGGGAGAAACUCCUUCCACAGUGUUCUUGGCUUCAAAGCAGGGCAGGCUUCCCAGAUGGGGAAGCUCAUAGGCUGGUGGGGGUGAGGUGCGGUGGGGAGCGGCAGAGAGACCUUCCAGGCCAGGUGUCCAGCCUAGAAAAAGGCUCAGAAGUGUGCAUGAGUGUGAGCUGUUGUUGGGAAUAAGAAGAUUGUCCCAGGAGGGCCCAGUAUGCACUAGAGGCUUAUAAGUAAUACUGCUGGGGGCCAGGUGUGGUGGCACGCACCUGUAAUCCCAGCGCUUUGGGAGGCCAAGGUGGGCAGAUCACCUGAGGUCAGGAGUUCGAGACCAGCCUGGCCAACAUGGUGAAAUCCUGUCUCUACUAAAAAUACAAAAAUUAGCCAGGCGUGGUGGUGGGAGCCUGUAAUGCCAGCUAUUUAGGAGGCUGAGAUAUGAGAAUCACUUGAACCCAGGAGGCAGAGGUUUCAGUGAGCUGAGAUUACACUGCUGCACUCCAGCCUGGGUGACAGAGUGAGACUCCUCAAAAAAAACAACAACAACAACAACAAAAAGAAAUAGGCCGGGCAUGGUGGCUCAUACCUAUAAUCCCAGCACUUUGGGAGGCCGAGGUGGGUGGAUAACCUGAGGUCAGGAGUUCGAGACCAGCCUGGCCAACAUGUUGAAACCCUGUCUCUACUAAAAAUACAAAAAUUAGGCAGGCGUGGUGGCACGCACCUGUAGUCCCAGCUACUCAGUGGGCUGAGGCAUGAGAAUCGCUUGAACCCAGGAGGCGGAGAUUGCAGUGAGCUGAGAUCGUGCCACUGCACUCCAGCUUGGGCAACAGAGCAAGACUCUGUCAAAAAAAAAAAAGAGAAAGAGAAAAGAAAGAAAAAAGAAUGAAAGAAAGAGAA
This 8351-nucleotide long non-coding RNA is filed under the name Homo sapiens (human). Its description in RNAcentral is "non-protein coding RFPL1S:23". Lineage: Eukaryota; Metazoa; Chordata; Mammalia; Primates; Hominidae. The record is from RNAcentral.